GAUGAAGAACGUAGCGAAAUGCGAUAAGUAAUGUGAAUUGCAGAAUUCAGUGAAUCAUCGAAUCUUUGAACGCACAUUGCGCCCGUCAGUAUUCUAGUGGGCAUGCCUGUUCGAGCGUCAUUUCAACCCUUAAGCCUCUGUUGCUUAGCGUUGGGAGCCUACCUACCCGGUAGAUCCUCAAAGUUAGCUGGCAGGGUCGAGGUUCGCCCUAAGCGUAGUAGUUCUUUCUCGCUUCUGCGGCUGCCUAGGCCAUCGCCACAAGCCUUUUAAACUUCAAUGGUUGACCUCGGAUCAGGUAGGAAUACCCGCUGAACUUAAGCAUAUCAAUAAGCGGAGGA
This 338-nucleotide unclassified non-coding RNA is filed under the name soil metagenome. RNAcentral describes it as "partial contains 5.8S ribosomal RNA, internal transcribed spacer 2, and large subunit ribosomal RNA". The stretch from base 1 to 120 matches the Rfam family "5.8S ribosomal RNA", at positions 35 to 154 of the family's 154-position model. The record is from RNAcentral.